AGAGAGAUAAGGGAAGGAAAAAUCUUGAAGCUUUGAUCUCCAUAUUCUUCAAGCUUAGGUCAAGUAAUUUUUGGAGUAUUCAAGGGUUUUGACAAGGAGUAUUUGGGUGAGCUAAAUAGCUAAGAUUUGGAUGUUUUAGGUGAACAUGACCUUUUGGACUUUAAUUGUAAGUGUGAUUUGUACUAAGGGGUUUUGCUAUAAGAGAGGAUCAAGUAAGUUAUUUGGCAAUUAUUAGUUUAUGAAGUCAGAUUUGUUUUGCCAAGUUAUGAGCUAUACGGAUUUCAUAUUACUU
Ipomoea triloba (trilobed morning glory) is the source of this 292-nucleotide long non-coding RNA. RefSeq lists it as uncharacterized. Lineage: Eukaryota; Viridiplantae; Streptophyta; Magnoliopsida; Solanales; Convolvulaceae. The record is from RefSeq and is a predicted model, not a curated record. The transcript has 3 exons.